AGCGUAGGCGGAUUUUUAAGUGGGAUGUGAAAUACCCGGGCUUAACCUGGGUGCUGCAUUCCAAACUGGAAGUCUAGAGUGCAGGAGAGGAAAGUGGAAUUCCUAGUGUAGCGGUGAAAUGCGUAGAGAUUAGGAAGAACACCAGUGGCGAAAGCGACUUUCUGGACUGUAACUGACGCUGAGGCUCGAAAGCGUGGGGAGCGAACA
This 207-nucleotide ribosomal RNA is filed under the name uncultured bacterium. RNAcentral's name for it is "partial 16S ribosomal RNA". It matches the Rfam family "Bacterial small subunit ribosomal RNA", at positions 568 to 774 of the family's 1533-position model. The record is from RNAcentral.